Gossypium arboreum is the source of this 144-nucleotide non-coding RNA. Lineage: Eukaryota; Viridiplantae; Streptophyta; Magnoliopsida; Malvales; Malvaceae. The record is from Rfam.
UGUUGAAAAUUUCAUCCAUUUUUAGUAUUAAAAACUGUCAUGGAUGAUAAAAUAACCAAACAGUUACACAUAGUGUGCCAUAUAUACCUUAUGCUGAAGUAUAGGAUCAAUUUUUAAUAGAAAAAAUAGAUGAUAUUUUUAACA